UCACUUUCAACAACGGAUCUCUUGGCUCUCGCAUCGAUGAAGAACGCAGCGAAAUGCGAUAAGUAGUGUGAAUUGCAUAAUUCUGUGAAUCAUCGAAUCUUUGAACGCAAAUUGCACUCCCUGGUAUUCCGGGGAGUAUGCCUGUUUGAGGGUCGUU
RNAcentral lists this ribosomal RNA (157 nucleotides) under uncultured Glomus. RNAcentral describes it as "5.8S ribosomal RNA". It matches the Rfam family "5.8S ribosomal RNA". From Rfam's summary of the family: 5.8S ribosomal RNA (5.8S rRNA) is a component of the large subunit of the eukaryotic ribosome. It is transcribed by RNA polymerase I as part of the 45S precursor that also contains 18S and 28S rRNA. The record is from RNAcentral. Lineage: Eukaryota; Fungi; Glomeromycota; Glomeromycetes; Glomerales; Glomeraceae.